Molecule: ribosomal RNA, 301 nt
Filed under: uncultured bacterium
Lineage: Bacteria
Description: partial 16S ribosomal RNA
Rfam family: Bacterial small subunit ribosomal RNA
Source: RNAcentral
CAGCCGCCACGGUAAUACGUAGGGUGCAAGCGUUAAUCGGAAUUACUGGGCGUAAAGCGUGCGCAGGCGGUUUGUUAAGACAGAUGUGAAAUCCCCGGGCUCAACCUGGGAACUGCAUUUGUGACUGGCAAGCUAGAGUAUGGCAGAGGGGGGUGGAAUUCCGCGUGUAGCAGUGAAAUGCGUAGAUAUGCGGAGGAACACCGAUGGCGAAGGCAGCCCCCUGGGCCAAUACUGACGCUCAUGCACGAAAGCGUGGGGAGCAAACAGGAUUAGAUACCCGAGUAGUCCCUGUCUCUUAUAC